This is a long non-coding RNA of Spinacia oleracea (spinach), 678 nucleotides long. RefSeq lists it as uncharacterized. The transcript has 3 exons. The record is from RefSeq and is a predicted model, not a curated record. NCBI's taxonomy places the organism in Eukaryota, Viridiplantae, Streptophyta, Magnoliopsida, Caryophyllales, Amaranthaceae.
UUCAUCAGGCAGGGACAACUUCAGUGUAGAAUAAUAAAGAGAGUGAGGGUGUUGGAGUGGUGAUGAUGAAGAAGAUGAAAAGAGAAAGAGGAGGGUCUAAAUGAAACAAAUUUCAUCUAACGCGGCGUUACCAGUAAUUUGGGUUGAUUUGGAUCAUGAUGGUCGGAUUAGUGGUGCCGAAGCGGUCGCUUUUUUUUCAAGGAUCAAUUCUAAGCAUCCCUUUUGCUGUCUAUGGGCUUGCAGCUUCACGAUAUAACUUAUGUCCAGGUAUAAAUGCGACUGUAAAAUAUCAUUCCCUUUUGUAUUUCUCAUGUAGUCACGUGUUCUAUUUCUUAGAAUUGAUUUUAUUAUAUGGAAGCAGGACCAGAAUCCUAGAUGAAGUUAGAAAGACAACAAUCUUGCAUAUAUUCUGGAAAGUUAUGGUGAAAUUCUACAAGUAUUUAACUGAUGGUGUCUAUCUUGGGGGAUAUACUUUGCUGUCUUAUCAAUGCAAGGGACAGUCUUUGGAAAAAAAUAGACGACGAACAAGCAGCCUCAAGUACUAGAGGUGACUUAUAUUACUUACUCUCUCGAUGAAAUGCACUAAAGAAACACAAUCCCUUCCCUACCAGAAGUGCAUUGUUUAUUCUUCUUCCCAUGAACUAUUUACAUAACUACAUAUGUGACUCUACAAUUAAU